GACGAACGCUGGCGGCGUGCUUAACACAUGCAAGUCGAACGGAAAGGCCCUGCUUUUGUGGGGUGCUCGAGUGGCGAACGGGUGAGUAACACGUGAGUAACCUGCCCUUGACUUUGGGAUAACUUCAGGAAACUGGGGCUAAUACCGGAUAGGAGCUCCUGCUGCAUGGUGGGGGUUGGAAAGUUUCGGCGGUUGGGGAUGGACUCGCGGCUUAUCAGCUUGUUGGUGGGGUAGUGGCUUUCCAGGGCUUUGACGGGUAGCCGGCCUGAGAGGGUGACCGGCCACAUUGGGACUGAGAUAGGGCCCAGACGCCUACGGGAGGCAGCAGGGGGGAAUAUUGCACAAUGGGCGGAAGCCUGAUGCAGCAACGCCGCGUGCGUGAUGACGGCCUUCGGGUUGUAAACCGCUUUCGCCUGUGACGAAGCGUGAGUGACGGUAAUGGGUAAAGAAGCACCGGCUAACUACGUG
This 468-nucleotide ribosomal RNA is filed under the name uncultured bacterium. Its description in RNAcentral is "partial 16S ribosomal RNA". It matches the Rfam family "Bacterial small subunit ribosomal RNA", at positions 28 to 507 of the family's 1533-position model. The record is from RNAcentral.